CAAAAAAGCUAGGGGAGCCUUAUGGAUGAGAAAAGUGCGUGAACACUUGACCCUUGACCUGAUUCGGAUAAUGCCGACGUAGGAAAGCUGUACAGGACUUUU
Non-coding RNA from Veillonella sp. CAG:933, 102 nucleotides. The record is from Rfam. Lineage: Bacteria; Bacillati; Bacillota; Negativicutes; Veillonellales; Veillonellaceae.